Molecule: long non-coding RNA, 1235 nt
Organism: Phasianus colchicus (ring-necked pheasant)
Lineage: Eukaryota; Metazoa; Chordata; Aves; Galliformes; Phasianidae
Source: Ensembl
AGAUGGCUGCUAAAUGGGGCAAGGAGGCGGUGGGGGGCAAGAUGGUGGUAGGUAAAAUGGCUGCCAUGGGGGCAAGAUGGCUGCCUUGGGGGCAAGGUGGGGGGGCAAGAUGGCUGCUGUGGGGCAAGAUGGCUGCCAUGGGGCGAGGUGGUGGGGGGGCAAGAUGGCCGCCACUGGCAAGGUGGGGCCCAAGAUGGCGGCCGUGGGGCUGUGUGGGGCCGCGGGCGCUGAGCCGUGCCCCCCCAGGAGCGAGGCGGACAUGACGGCCUGGAUCUCCCGCCUCAACCUGGCGGCCGCCCUGCUCUCCUCGCCGCCGUUCCCCGCCGCCGUCGGCUCCCAGCGCCGCUUCGCGCGGCCCAUCCUGCCGGCUGCGCCCAGCCGCUGCUCGCCGGUGAGUGGGGGGGCGGGGGGACGGCAUGGGGUCACUAUGGGGACAGCAUGGGGACAUUAUGGGGACGCUUUGGGAUCACUAUGGGGUCACCAUUUAGACAACCAUGGGGACUCUGUGGGGACUCUAUGGGUCACUAUGGGGACUGUAUGGGGAUACCAAGGGGACUCUAUGGGGCCACUAUGGGGACACCAUGGGGAUGCUUUGAGGACUCUAUGGGGACGCUAUGGGGCCAAUAUGGGGUCGCUAUGGGGUUGCUAUGGGGUUGCUAUGGGGUCCCCAUGUAGACAACCAUAGGGAUUCUAUGGGGACUCUAUGGGGAUGCUAUGGGGCCACUAUGGGGACGCUUUGGGGUUACUAUGGGGACUCUAUGGGGAUUCUUUGAGGACUCUAUGGGGUUGCUAUGGGGUCACUAUGUAGACAACCAUAGGGAUUCUAUGGGGACACCAUGGAGAUGCUUUGAGGACUCUAUGGGGUCGCUGUGGGGUCACCAUGUAGACAACCAUAGGGAUUCUAUGGGGACUCUAUGGGGCCACUAUGGGGACACCAUGGGGAUGCUUUGAGGACUCUAUAGGGGUGAUAUGGGGCCAAUAUGGGGACGCUAUGGGGAUACCAAGGGGAGUCUAUGGGGACAAUAUGGGGAUACUUUGAGGACUCUAUGGGGAUGCUAUGGGGCCACUAUGGGGUCACCAUAUAGACAACCAUGGGAACUCUAUGGGGCCACUAUGGGGACACCAUGGGGAUGCUUUGAGGACUCUCUGGGGGUGCUGUAGGGCCAAUAUGGGGUCGCUAUGGGGACUCUAUGGGGAUGCUUUGAGGAGUCUAUGGGGGUGAUAUGGGGCCAAUA